CUGAAAAAAAAUGUCAAGUCUCAUCAACUCAAGAAGUUGAAUAGAAAACCUGAAUGAAAAUAUUAUGAAUGAAAACACUUUGAACCCCAAAACGUGAAUUUCUGCUGUUCGAUACUGUAGCUCAGCAGAAGCUGGGAAGAACCUCUUGAGGUGAUAAAUAUCAAAGCAUAAUAAACAGACAAAAAGGAAAUUUCAUAAUAUAUACCAAGGGAAACUAGGAAUUAUUUGAAACUGACAUGAGGCAAAUCAAAGCAUAAAAGAGAUAAACCUGAAAAAUGCAGUAUUUUUCUUCACAUUCUCUGCAGUGCAUUCUUUAUGGUAUGUUCUUUGUUGUCAUAGAUUUUUACAUGUUUCCAUUAACUUUAUUUAUAUUUUUUGCCUUUUAAAAGCUGUUUUAAAACUCCAGCUGGUACAAAGACACCGAAACGUAAAGCAAGAUAGGACAAGAAAUUUGGAAUGACAGAAGUGACCACCUACUGACACACGCACUGCGAAAAUCACAGCAUACUGUUUGAAAACAAGCAGUGUCUUUGCAGAGGAGGCCUCACCACCAGCAGCUUCAGCCCAGCUCCUGUCAAGACUACAGAUCUGGAAAAG
Molecule: long non-coding RNA, 597 nt
Organism: Gallus gallus (chicken)
Lineage: Eukaryota; Metazoa; Chordata; Aves; Galliformes; Phasianidae
Source: Ensembl